CUGCCGGUCUUCCUCUAGCUGAGACUUCCUUGACUGCCGCGGCUAACGCGGUCGACCUUUCGGGGGUGCCGAGCUACCCCACUUCCGCCCCAGAGGUCCGAAACCUCUAAUUUUGUAUUCUUUUUUUUUUCUUUGUUGUAAUUUUUUCUCAUUCUCUUGUAGUUAAGAACUAUUUAAUCAAUGAAAUCGGAUUCUUCUUUUCAGAGGGCUCCUCUUUUUUACUUUGCAUUCUUUUUCUUCUCUUUUGUUUUUCGGCACUGAUUUGUGUUGUGGCGCUCUUGUCUUCCAACGACAGUGUCCCGCCGAAGCUCUUCCCUUGCCACAGGAGAUUUCUCUGAAAUCGAUGGUCCGGGACCUUAGAAGGAAAAUUCAUCACCUGACGAAGAAAUCAAAGAAGCUGGAUGACGAACUUCAC
This 415-nucleotide long non-coding RNA is filed under the name Elaeis guineensis (African oil palm). RNAcentral's name for it is "long non-coding RNA (EGUI_LNC056392)". The record is from RNAcentral. Lineage: Eukaryota; Viridiplantae; Streptophyta; Magnoliopsida; Arecales; Arecaceae.